CCUAACACAUGCAAGUCGAACGGUAACAGGAAACAGCUUGCUGUUUCGCUGACGAGUGGCGGACGGGUGAGUAAUGUCUGGGAAACUGCCUGAUGGAGGGGGAUAACUACUGGAAACGGUAGCUAAUACCGCAUAACGUCGCAAGACCAAAGAGGGGGACCUUCGGGCCUCUUGCCAUCAGAUGUGCCCAGAUGGGAUUAGCUAGUAGGUGGGGUAACGGCUCACCUAGGCGACGAUCCCUAGCUGGUCUGAGAGGAUGACCAGCCACACUGGAACUGAGACACGGUCCAGACUCCUACGGGAGGCAGCAGUGGGGAAUAUUGCACAAUGGGCGCAAGCCUGAUGCAGCCAUGCCGCGUGUAUGAAGAAGGCCUUCGGGUUGUAAU
This 386-nucleotide ribosomal RNA is filed under the name uncultured bacterium. Its description in RNAcentral is "bacterial SSU rRNA". It matches the Rfam family "Bacterial small subunit ribosomal RNA", at positions 47 to 429 of the family's 1533-position model. The record is from RNAcentral.